GAAAUAUUUAAGGGCAAUAUACUUAAAAACUCAAUAAUAGUUUAAACCCACUUCAUGGUGAAUUGUUUUAUGUGUGUCUCUGUGUUUAACUGAUGUGUACAAAGACUGUCUCUUCUACGGCAUGGACAAAUAGUGUUUUGUGUUUUCCUUAAUCAUCAUAUCUGGUUGGGACAAAAUAACCCACAGGAAUAUGGCUCCGAGCGGAUACUCCAAUUUUACAGAAUCUCAGUUCUUUGGGUCCCAGUUUUGGCCUGAGAACUCUCAAGGCGCAUCUCAAGAUAUGAGUUUGUCUUCGAGGACCUCCCAACAAAGUUCACAAGAGGGAAGUGACCCAAAGUUUUCAAGCAGUUACCACACCAGACCUCUCCUGCUUGGCGACUUCAUGGACAAAAGCAAAGCUUUUGGACUACUUGAGAAAUUUGAAGAUGACAAGAAAAAGGCAAAAGAAAAAUAUGACAGUGAUCAUUUGACUAAAGAAUUUCAUCAUAUUCGAGAAACCCUAAGCAACGUAAGUUAUAAAAGGCAUUUAUUCUGUUGCUUUUUCAGUUUACUGCUAAUCUAUUGAUUGAUGUAAGUUAUUAAAAUAUGUAUUUUUUUUCUUUCUAGAUCCAACAACUGGUUGCUGGCACGGAGAGAAAUACUGCUGUGUGCCAAAACGCCCUUGAAAGAUUUGACAAGUUUGCAUCAACAUUGCAAAAUAGUCUUAGUAGUCUUCAAAGUAACAUUUUGCAGCAGUUUGAAACUUUGCUGGAUAAAGUGAACUCCCAGAGAGAGAUUACAACAGAACUGGAGGAGAAGGUACAAAAGAUAAUUCAUUUGUUUCAUUUGUUUUAAUCUUGUAGUGACUAGUAAAUGUUUCUGCAUUUGUUGAGUCUUAUUGUUUGUUUUUAUCAUUUCAUGUAGAUUGGAGAAAAUACAGCAGAACUUGGCUCAAACCUGCAAAGCUUAAGGAAAAGUCUGGAGUGUCUGAGAGAGAAGCAGGAGACAGAACGAAACAUGCUCGAAGAGGCCCUGAAGCUGCUCAGCACCUUAGUCUCAGAGCAUUCAGCCAAACCCAAACCCAAAGAAGUGGUCCACAGUGCCAUCCAGACAUCACCAGGGCCCGAACAACAAAUGUCCAAUAUCCUGCUGGACAACAAGCUGGAAGCCACACAGCUGACAUGUAUAUCCAACAACCUUGAACACAACCAGAAUAAUGUUCUGCCUCAGAAUCCCAGCUGCACUGUAGCAAAGAGGAAAUUUACUACGAGAGACCGGAGGAGGCGCAAAAAGAGGCCGUUGGUGCUUCCACAGAGGAGUAAGCAUACUGUCAGGGAUGAAAAUAGCCGGCCUCUAAUGAACUGUAACCAACAAAAAAAUGUUUCUUUACCUAUCGGUGAGCGUCAUGAUGUGAACGCAGUGAAAACCCAGGUGGGCCUAAACACAGGCUGUCAUGAACUGCUGAACAGGGAGACAAGAUCCAAAGCUGCAGGAUGUGUCAUCACCCCGCUCAGCUGCUGGUCUCAGGACAGCAGCAGCUCUCUGUGCUCCGCAGGGUUCGAACCAAUCUUACAGAAGCUCUCAGCAGAGUCCAGGUCAGUAACCCCAGAAAAACCUGGCUUCUGGCAAUUGUUUGACAUGGAUUCAGCUUUAGGAUUUUAAAGGUUGAUAAAAGGACUGAAACAUGGGUGUUCCCUUUUUUUUGGUGUAUAGGGAAACAAAAGACACAGGUGUUUAUGAUUAUACAUAUUAACUCUUACAAAGUUCUGUUUGUUGUAGAUGUAUUCUGUAAACUAGUUUUUGGAAGAAAAACAUUGUCCAAUAUUUUUUAUCUUGAACUUGAUGUGGAAGUACUUGUAGUGUAAUGACUUAACCUAAGAAAUGAAACCCACAAAGCACUUCUUACUCAUUUAAUUUCCUUUUAUUACAAGUGUUGCCGAAGUGUCUCUGCUGACUUUUAAAAAUAUUUGUUUCUGUAUAAAUAUACUAAUGACUUGACAUAAAAAUAAACUGAGAUUGUAAUCAUUAGGUACCAGUUGUAUUUAUUGUAUGAUUUCUGUUUGGUAUAUAUGGGUUCUGAUUUUGUAAAGAGUCAUUGUGAUGUAGUUAUUGCAGCCUGGAAGGCUGCCAUUACAAGUUCUUUUUAUCCUUUGUUUUUCUAAAUAUUUAUUUUUGGGCUUUUUAUGCCUUUUAUUAGAGAGACAG
Molecule: long non-coding RNA, 2184 nt
Organism: Labrus mixtus (cuckoo wrasse)
Lineage: Eukaryota; Metazoa; Chordata; Actinopteri; Labriformes; Labridae
Exons: 4
Source: RefSeq, a predicted model, not a curated record